This 578-nucleotide ribosomal RNA is filed under the name uncultured Bacteroidota bacterium. Its description in RNAcentral is "bacterial SSU rRNA". It matches the Rfam family "Bacterial small subunit ribosomal RNA", at positions 338 to 916 of the family's 1533-position model. The record is from RNAcentral. Lineage: Bacteria; Pseudomonadati; Bacteroidota.
CCUACGGGAGGCAGCAGUGAGGAAUAUUGGACAAUGGGCGGAAGCCUGAUCCAGCCAUGCCGCGUGCAGGAAGACUGCCCUAUGGGUUGUAAACUGCUUUUGUACAGGAAGAAACCUUUCCACGUGUGGAGAGCUGACGGUACUGUAAGAAUAAGCAUCGGCUAACUCCGUGCCAGCAGCCGCGGUAAUACGGAGGAUGCAAGCGUUAUCCGGAAUCAUUGGGUUUAAAGGGUCCGUAGGUGGAUUGGUCAGUCAGAGGUGAAAUCCUGCAGCUCAACUGUAGAACUGCCUUUGAUACUGCCGGUCUUGAAUUAUUGUGAAGUGGUUAGAAUAUGUAGUGUAGCGGUGAAAUGCAUAGAUAUUACAUAGAAUACCGAUUGCGAAGGCAGAUCACUAACAAUAUAUUGACACUGAUGGACGAAAGCGUGGGGAGCGAACGGGAUUAGAUACCCCGGUAGUCCACGCCGUAAACGAUGGUCACUAGCUGUUCGGACUUCGGUCUGAGUGGCUAAGCGAAAGUGAUAAGUGACCCACCUGGGGAGUACGUUCGCAAGAAUGAAACUCAAAUGAAUUGACGG